GCCCUUGUGAUGCAACUGGUAGACAUGCCGUGCUUAGAACGCGGUUGUUGUGGGUUCGACUCCCACCAAGGGUACCA
RNAcentral lists this transfer RNA (77 nucleotides) under Leptolyngbya sp. PCC 7375. RNAcentral's name for it is "tRNA-Leu". It matches the Rfam family "tRNA". From Rfam's summary of the family: Transfer RNA (tRNA) molecules are approximately 80 nucleotides in length. The record is from RNAcentral. RNAcentral also lists the same sequence under 3 other names. Lineage: Bacteria; Bacillati; Cyanobacteriota; Cyanophyceae; Leptolyngbyales; Leptolyngbyaceae.